This 202-nucleotide ribosomal RNA is filed under the name uncultured bacterium. RNAcentral's name for it is "partial 16S ribosomal RNA". It matches the Rfam family "Bacterial small subunit ribosomal RNA", at positions 1299 to 1500 of the family's 1533-position model. The record is from RNAcentral.
UGCAGGCUGCAACCCGCCUGCAUGAAGUUGGAAUCGCUAGUAAUCGCGGAUCAGCAUGCCGCGGUGAAUACGUUCCCGGGCCUUGUACACACCGCCCGUCACACCAUGAGAGUCGGGAACACCCGAAGUCCGUAGCCUGACCGCAAGGGGGGCGCGGCCGAAGGUGGGUUCGAUAAUUGGGGUGAAGUCGUAACAAGGUAGC